RNAcentral lists this ribosomal RNA (459 nucleotides) under uncultured bacterium. RNAcentral describes it as "partial 16S ribosomal RNA". It matches the Rfam family "Bacterial small subunit ribosomal RNA", at positions 338 to 795 of the family's 1533-position model. The record is from RNAcentral.
CCUACGGGAGGCAGCAGUGAGGAAUAUUGGUCAAUGGUCGGGAGACUGAACCAGCCAAGCCGCGUGAGGGAUGAAGGUACAGAGUAUCGUAAACCUCUUUUGUCAGGGCACAAAGGCGGGGACGUGUCCCCGGAUGAGUGUACCUGACGACAAAGCAUCGGCUAACUCCGUUCCAGCAGCCGCGGUAAUACGGAGGAUGCGAUCGUUAUCCGGAUUUAUGGGGGUAAAGGGGUGCGCGGGCGGUCUGUUAAGUCAGCGGUAAAAGCCCGUGGCUCAACCCCGGCCCGCCGUUGAAACUGGCAGUCUCGAGUACAGUAGAGGUGGGCGGAAUGUGUGGUGGAGCGGUGAAAUGCUUAGAUAUCACGAAGAACUCCGAUUGCGAAGGCAGCUCACUGGACUGCAACUGACACUGAGGCUCGAAAGUGUGGGUAUCAAACAGGAUUAGAUACCCCAGUAGUC